This 497-nucleotide ribosomal RNA is filed under the name uncultured bacterium. Its description in RNAcentral is "partial 16S ribosomal RNA". It matches the Rfam family "Bacterial small subunit ribosomal RNA", at positions 28 to 507 of the family's 1533-position model. The record is from RNAcentral.
GAUGAACGCUGGCGGCGUGCCUAAUACAUGCAAGUCGAGCGAACAGACGAGGAGCUUGCUCCUCUGACGUUUGCGGCGGACGGGUGAGUAACACGUGGAUAACCUACCUAUAAGACUGGGAUAACUUCGGGAAACCGGAGCUAAUACCGGAUAAUAUAUUGAACCGCAUGGUUCAAUAGUGAAAGACGGUUUUGCUGUCACUUAUAGAUGGAUCCGCGCCGCAUUAGCUAGUUGGUAAGGUAACGGCUUACCAAGGCGACGAUGCGUAGCCGACCUGAGAGGGUGAUCGGCCACACUGGAACUGAGACACGGUCCAGACUCCUACGGGAGGCAGCAGUAGGGAAUCUUCCGCAAUGGGCGAAAGCCUGACGGAGCAACGCCGCGUGAGUGAUGAAGGUCUUCGGAUCGUAAAACUCUGUUAUUAGGGAAGAACAAAUGUGUAAGUAACUAUGCACGUCUUGACGGUACCUAAUCAGAAAGCCACGGCUAACUACGUG